CUUUUCCUGCGAUGUACGGGAGGGGAUCGUCAAUCUCUUGGGACAAAAAUAUAAAACGGGAUUCCUUCAUUUCGUGGUUGAAUUGACCGUCCUCGAGACGGACAGGAUUCCACGUUGCGGAAACCCACUUGAACCAUUGGGUUCAAGAGAUUUUUUCUCCAAGCGGCAUCGCGGGUUUUAC
This 181-nucleotide non-coding RNA is filed under the name Sediminispirochaeta smaragdinae DSM 11293. RNAcentral's name for it is "Spirochaeta smaragdinae DSM 11293 6S / SsrS RNA". It matches the Rfam family "6S / SsrS RNA". Rfam says of the family: E. coli 6S RNA was the first non coding RNA to be sequenced, but its function was unknown until recently. The record is from Rfam by way of RNAcentral. Lineage: Bacteria; Pseudomonadati; Spirochaetota; Spirochaetia; Spirochaetales; Spirochaetaceae.